RNAcentral lists this unclassified non-coding RNA (161 nucleotides) under soil metagenome. RNAcentral's name for it is "partial internal transcribed spacer 1". The record is from RNAcentral.
CCGAGUUUACAACUCCCAAACCCAAUGUGAACAUACCUAAACGUUGCCUCGGCGGGACCGCCCCGGCGCCCCUCGGGCCCGGAACCAGGCGCCCGCCGCAGGAAAACAAACCUCUGUUUUUGUUAAGAUUUCUCCUCUGAGUGGAUUUUACAAAUAAAUCA